Molecule: ribosomal RNA, 485 nt
Filed under: Loxops coccineus coccineus
Lineage: Eukaryota; Metazoa; Chordata; Aves; Passeriformes; Fringillidae
Description: partial 12S ribosomal RNA
Rfam family: Bacterial small subunit ribosomal RNA
Source: RNAcentral
AAAAGACUUAGUCCUAACCUUACUGUUAGUUUUUGCUAGGUAUAUACAUGCAAGUAUCCGCGCGCCAGUGUAGACGCCCUGGACACCUUAAUCAGGUAGAUAGGAGCGGGUAUCAGGCUCACCAUAACCGUAGCCCAAGACGCCUCGCACUUGCCACGCCCCCACGGGUAUUCAGCAGUAGUUAAUAUUAAGCAAUGAGUGUAAACUUGACUUAGCCAUAGCAAAUUAGGGUUGGUAAAUCCUGUGCCAGCCACCGCGGUCAUACAGGAGACCCAAAUUAACAUUAUAACGGCGUAAAGAGUGGUCACAUGCUAUCCAAGUAACUAAGAUUAAAAAGCAACUGAGCUGUCACAAGCCCAAGAUGCCAAUAAGGCCUCCUUAUCAAAGAAGAUCUUAGAACAACGAUUAAUUGAACUCCACGAAAGCCAGGGCCCAAACUGGGAUUAGAUACCCCACUAUGCCUGGCCCUAAAUCUUGAUGCUUAC